GGGCCUGUAGCUCAGUUGGAAGAGCGCCUCGGUCGCAUCGAGGAGGUCGCCGGUUCGAGUCCGGUCAGGUCCA
RNAcentral lists this transfer RNA (73 nucleotides) under Acidobacteriota bacterium. Its description in RNAcentral is "tRNA-Ala". It matches the Rfam family "tRNA". Rfam says of the family: Transfer RNA (tRNA) molecules are approximately 80 nucleotides in length. Their secondary structure includes four short double-helical elements and three loops (D, anti-codon, and T loops). RNAcentral also lists the same sequence under 1 other name. Lineage: Bacteria; Pseudomonadati; Acidobacteriota. The record is from RNAcentral.